CAACUACUCUGAUAUUACUUGCAAUUGAAAUUGCAAGUAGAUUAAUGUAAGUUACGUAGUUAUGUUUUAUGCUUUAUUUGUUUGUUUUACAGAUGAAUAAGUCAGUACUUCUAAUCUUGCUUCUUGUCGGACUUCUUGUCCUCACAGAUACAACCAACGGUUUGUGGGGUCGUCGUCGUCGUCAUCGUCAUCAUCGUCGUCGUCGUCGCUGGAACACAAACAGCCAGAAGCAAAAUCUCAAAGAUAUCGAAGAUCAUUACGACGCUUUUUCCUUUGAUGCUGAAGAGAACAUUCAAUAAGCAGAAGAUGGCCACCUCUGGUUGAAUUAUUGAUAAAUGUCACUCACAUUCACGAUUUAAUAUCAAUCAGAAAUAAAUUCAACCAUGGCAUUA
This is a long non-coding RNA of Ciona intestinalis (vase tunicate), 392 nucleotides long. RefSeq lists it as uncharacterized. The record is from RefSeq and is a predicted model, not a curated record. NCBI's taxonomy places the organism in Eukaryota, Metazoa, Chordata, Ascidiacea, Phlebobranchia, Cionidae.